Molecule: ribosomal RNA, 438 nt
Filed under: uncultured bacterium
Lineage: Bacteria
Description: bacterial SSU rRNA
Rfam family: Bacterial small subunit ribosomal RNA
Source: RNAcentral
UACGGGAGGCAGCAGUGGGGAAUAUUGCACAAUGGGCGCAAGCCUGAUGCAGCAACGCCGUGUGAGUGAAGAAGGUUUUCGGAUCGUAAAACUCUGUCCUAAGGGAAGAAACAAAUGACGGUACCUUAGGAGGAAGCCCCGGCUAACUACGUGCCAGCAGCCGCGGUAAUACGUAGGGGGCAAGCGUUAUCCGGAAUCACUGGGCGUAAAGGGUGCGUAGGCGGCUUAGCAAGCCAGGGGUGAAAGGCAUUGGCUCAACCAAUGUAAGCCUUUGGAACUGUUAAGCUUGAGUGCAGGAGAGGUAAGUGGAAUUCCUAGUGUAGAGGUGAAAUUCGUAGAUAUUAGGAGGAACACCAGUGGCGAAGGCGACUUACUGGACUGUAACUGACGCUGAUGCACGAAAGCGUGGGUAGCGAACAGGAUUAGAUACCCUGGUAA